RNAcentral lists this ribosomal RNA (465 nucleotides) under uncultured Klebsiella sp. Its description in RNAcentral is "bacterial SSU rRNA". It matches the Rfam family "Bacterial small subunit ribosomal RNA", at positions 338 to 795 of the family's 1533-position model. Lineage: Bacteria; Pseudomonadati; Pseudomonadota; Gammaproteobacteria; Enterobacterales; Enterobacteriaceae. The record is from RNAcentral.
CCUACGGGAGGCUGCAGUGGGGAAUAUUGCACAAUGGGCGCAAGCCUGAUGCAGCCAUGCCGCGUGUGUGAAGAAGGCCUUCGGGUUGUAAAGCACUUUCAGCGGGGAGGAAGGCGUUAAGGUUAAUAACCUUGGCGAUUGACGUUGCCCGUAGAAGAAGCACCGGCUAACUCCGUGCCAGCAGCCGCGGUAAUACGGAGGGUGCAAGCGUUAAUCGGAAUUACUGGGCGUAAAGCGCACGCAGGCGGUCUGUCAAGUCGGAUGUGAAAUCCCCGGGCUCAACCUGGGAACUACAUUCGAAACUGGCAGGCUAGAGUCUUGUAGAGGGGGGUAGAAUUCCAGGUGUAGCGGUGAAAUGCGUAGAGAUCUGGAGGAAUACCGGUGGCGAAGGCGGCCCCCUGGACAAAGACUGACGCUCAGGUGCGAAAGCGUGGGGAGCAAACAGGAUUAGAUACCCGGGUAGUC